UUCAUGAUGAAAUUUAAUUUUGGUCCGUGUUUAUGACUUUAUGUGAUUUCAAUUCUUCCAAUUACUGAUAAUG
Molecule: non-coding RNA, 73 nt
Organism: Glossina austeni
Lineage: Eukaryota; Metazoa; Arthropoda; Insecta; Diptera; Glossinidae
Source: Rfam